Molecule: small nuclear RNA, 112 nt
Organism: Suricata suricatta (meerkat)
Lineage: Eukaryota; Metazoa; Chordata; Mammalia; Carnivora; Herpestidae
Source: Ensembl
UUUGUCUGAAAAAUAAAUAAACUCUUAAAAACAGAAAUAAUACAGAGAAUAUUAGCAUGGCCUCUAUACAAGGAUGACACCCAAUUUCGUGAAGCACUCAUUCCAUAAUUUU